Long non-coding RNA from Haliotis rubra (blacklip abalone), 115 nucleotides. RefSeq lists it as uncharacterized. Lineage: Eukaryota; Metazoa; Mollusca; Gastropoda; Lepetellida; Haliotidae. The transcript is spliced from 3 exons. The record is from RefSeq and is a predicted model, not a curated record.
GUAUUACUACAUGUAUGUGGACCUACAGGGAGGGUAUUAUGGCGUGUAUGUGGACCUACAGGGAGGGUAUUACGGCAUGUAUGUGGACCUACAGGGAGGGUUUUACGGCAUGUAU